UCCUGGCUGGCUCAGACAGUAAAGAACCUGCCUGCAACAUAGGAGACCUGGGUUUGAUCCCCGGGUCAGGAA
RNAcentral lists this transfer RNA (72 nucleotides) under Ovis aries (sheep). It matches the Rfam family "tRNA". From Rfam's summary of the family: Transfer RNA (tRNA) molecules are approximately 80 nucleotides in length. Lineage: Eukaryota; Metazoa; Chordata; Mammalia; Artiodactyla; Bovidae. The record is from Rfam by way of RNAcentral.